This is a non-coding RNA of Pelobates cultripes (western spadefoot toad), 897 nucleotides long. The record is from the annotation of a GenBank genome assembly. NCBI's taxonomy places the organism in Eukaryota, Metazoa, Chordata, Amphibia, Anura, Pelobatidae.
GGAGGACUCUGAUGGGUAAAAAAAAAACAACUUUAAAAAAUGAAGUGGUCACCGUUUCUGCGGUCCAGGACUGCCAACGUGGUUAUGUAAUGUCCCGUAACUUGCGGCCUAUGCUUUAGGCUCGAUCCAGAUUUGGAGUUUGAGCUCAUCUCACUUUAAGCCUCAGACCCUGCCCGUGUCCAAACCCAGUCCCUAGCUCCCCCACCCAAGCCUCCAUUUUCUGGAUAUGCUGUGGCCCGAUAUUGUGGAAGUCACGGCAUAUGGUGGCUCCCCAGCCUGUGUUAUGAAGCCCUUUGUGUGGAAUACCCUGCCCCAGUCACGUGUAUUUGAAGUUCCCUUCAUACCACCUCCCCAAUUCCUGAAAACCCCCGUUCGCCACAAGUUGGCGGUCUCCGUGGGCUCGAGUAGGCCCAGUCGGCCCCAAGAGAGUGUGCCCCCACUACCUUACUCGGAAGAGGUGGGUGUGCUCCUGUGCCGGUCAGCGUGGGUGGCGUCGUCACCUGGCUGCAGGAUGUGAGUCCUGCCAUUUUGGAAGGCCAGCAGUUUAAAGGGGUAUCCCCAUGCAUAGCGCAUGUUCGCCACUCUCAGGGCAUCGGUAAUGGGUUUCCACUCACGUCGUCGUCGUAAAGUGGCUGGCGCCAGGUCCUGGUGUAAAGCCAGGUCUGUGCAUUGGCAGGUGAUCGGGCCGUCUCUGCCUCUCCUGAGUAGUGCUUCCUUGGUCUGGAAGUGUAGGAAUUUUAUAAUGAUAUCCCGCGGGGUGUUCAUGUCCAGCCUCCUGGUGCUUAGUGCUCUGUGGGCACGCUCUAUGUGCCAAAGGUGAUCUGGCAGGCCGGGUAACAAAGGCUUAAGGAUUGCGGACAGUAUGUCUGCUACUGGGCCUUCCCCUGAGUUCUCUGG